AGACCCGAAACCCGGUGAUCUAGCCAUGGGCAGGUUGAAGGUUGGGUAACACUAACUGGAGGACCGAACCGACUAAUGUUGAAAAAUUAGCGGAUGACCUGUGGCUGGGGGUGAAAGGCCAAUCAAACCGGGAGAUAGCUGGUUCUCCCCGAAAGCUAUUUAGGUAGCGCCUCGUGAAUUCAUCUCCGGGGGUAGAGCACUGUUUCGGCUAGGGGGCCAUCCCGGCUUACCAACCCGAUGCAAACUGCGAAUACCGGAGAAUGUUAUCACGGGAGACACACGGCGGGUGCUAACGUCCGUCGUGAAGAGGGAAACAACCCAGACCGCCAGCUAAGGUCCCAAAGUCAUGGUUAAGUGGGAAACGAUGUGGGAAGGCCCAGACAGCCAGGAUGUUGGCUUAGAAGCAGCCAUCAUUUAAAGAAAGCGUAAUAGCUCACUGGUCGAGUCGGCCUGCGCGGAAGAUGUAACGGGGCUAAACCAUGCACCGAAGCUGCGGCAGCGACGCUUAUGCGUUGUUGGGUAGGGGAGCGUUCUGUAAGCCUGUGAAGGUGGCCUGUGAGGGUUGCUGGAGGUAUCAGAAGUGCGAAUGCUGACAUAAGUAACGAUAAAGCGGGUGAAAAGCCCGCUCGCCGGAAGACCAAGGGUUCCUGUCCAACGUUAAUCGGGGCAGGGUGAGUCGACCCCUAAGGCGAGGCCGAAAGGCGUAGUCGAUGGGAAACGGGUUAAUAUUCCCGUACUUGGUGUUACUGCGAAGGGGGGACGGAGAAGGCUAUGUUGGCCGGGCGACGGUUGUCCCGGUUUAAGCGUGUAGGUGUGUGUUCCAGGUAAAUCCGGUUCACUUUAACACUGAGGCGUGACGACGAGGCACUACGGUGCUGAAGCAACAAAUGCCCUGCUUCCAGGAAAAGCCUCUAAGCAUCAGGUAACAUCAAAUCGUACCCCAAACCGACACAGGUGGUCAGGUAGAGAAUACCAAGGCGCUU
RNAcentral lists this ribosomal RNA (983 nucleotides) under Salmonella enterica subsp. enterica serovar Minnesota. RNAcentral's name for it is "partial 23S ribosomal RNA". It matches the Rfam family "Bacterial large subunit ribosomal RNA", at positions 711 to 1691 of the family's 2925-position model. The record is from RNAcentral. Lineage: Bacteria; Pseudomonadati; Pseudomonadota; Gammaproteobacteria; Enterobacterales; Enterobacteriaceae.